GUGGGGAAUCUUAGACAAUGGGGGAAACCCUGAUCUAGCCAUGCCGCGUGAGCGAUGAAGGCCUUAGGGUUGUAAAGCUCUUUCAGCUGGGAAGAUAAUGACGGUACCAGCAGAAGAAGCCCCGGCUAACUCCGUGUCAGCAGCCGCGGUAAUACGGAGGGGGCUAGCGUUGUUCGGAAUUACUGGGCGUAAAGCGCACGUAGGCGGAUCAGAAAGUCAGAGGUGAAAUCCCAGGGCUCAACCUUGGAACUGCCUUUGAAACUCCUGGUCUUGAGGUCGAGAGAGGUGAGUGGAAUUCCGAGUGUAGAGGUGAAAUUCGUAGAUAUUCGGAGGAACACCAGUGGCGAAGGCGGCUUCCUGGCACAAUACUGACGCUCAUGUGCGAAAGCUAGGGCAGCGAACGGGAUUAGAAACCCGGGUAGUCC
Molecule: ribosomal RNA, 425 nt
Filed under: uncultured bacterium
Lineage: Bacteria
Description: partial 16S ribosomal RNA
Rfam family: Bacterial small subunit ribosomal RNA
Source: RNAcentral